This 560-nucleotide long non-coding RNA is filed under the name Linum usitatissimum (flax). RNAcentral describes it as "long non-coding RNA (LUSI_LNC001934)". Lineage: Eukaryota; Viridiplantae; Streptophyta; Magnoliopsida; Malpighiales; Linaceae. The record is from RNAcentral.
CACCCACCAUCAGACAAGAAAUACUGUGCAGCCUUCAAAGAAACUUCAAUAGUCGAUAAAUAUGGAUGCAACUUCAUAAAAAAACUUCAAUGCAUAACGUAAAGGAGCAGCAUACAGCAGCCGUGCAAUUAUUAUAGUGUACCUUAUUGUGGCAUCAUUUUCAUUAUGUGACCCGAGGAGAGAACCAUCGAGCUCUGUACAAAUUUAUACAUCUAUCACUUAAGUGGAUCUUUAUACAUCUAUCCAAUCCUGGUAGAAGGAUAGGGACAAACAGAACAAGAGAAACAAAAAGUAGGAAGAAUUUACGGGGUACGUAUAUCUUUAAGUUCUAUGACGUGGUAAUGAAGGUGCAUGGAAUCAGCAGCUUUUGGCUGCUGGUACGUUUCACGUCCAAUCCGCUUCAUUGCCGAGUGUUGGGAUAUUUUGUAUACUACUUCCUGCCUUGGUAGUUUCAUCUUACAUACUGGAGGGAAAAACAAGGAUUGAUAAAUGGGAAAGCUUAAAAACAACAAGAGAAGGGUUUAUACCUCUAGCAGCGAGAUGUAAUAGAAAUCCUCCAU